UCCGGUUCCCAGUCUUGAGUACAGCCUCUAGCAGCUUCUUGAAUAGACGGCUGUUCCGAAGCUCAUGGCAGGCCACCUGUUUUCGACCAAGAAAAGGUACACUUCAAUAAAACAGUCAGCAUUUUUUUCCAUUGUUAUCGACAAAAAAAGAGUACAAUUCAAUAAAACUGUCAGCAUUUCCCCCCCCCCCCAACCCAUUUUUAUAACUAGUAGUACUACUGCUCCUGAAGCCACAAUACCUCCAGGGUUUUAAAUGAUUGUUCUGCAUUUGCAGCUUCUUCCGGCAAACUGGACAUGAAAAGCAACACAUCCAGGCGCUGAUAGAGGUAAGGUAUGUCAAUGAUGGUCCUCAAGAAUUGCUCUGCAGGACCAAGUUGAGUGAGCUCCCCGGUGUAUAGCCGAAGCCUUAGCUCCUCGUCGCUGCUUGGAGUCCACCUUAUCAAGGUUUGUAUCAGAUCAAUAGGGAGUUCAUGCCCUGGAUCAAUUUAUAUUUACCCAUUAAUAUAAGGUACAUAGUUUCUGCUGCAUAUAUAACACAGAAGAGACCCAAAAGAUGGUCAGCUUUACCUUCCAUAACUGCAUUACGUACUUCGUCAGCUGAAACACUCAGUGCCUUCAGUGAUAUCGCUAAGUUCUGUGCCUUUUUAGCAUCGAGUAUCCUAACAAAUUGAGGGGUAUCCUUUGCUGCUAAAUCCUUUUUGCCGUCAGCAUUUUUCUUGUCAGUAGCAUGACAACCAAAAAGGCUCUCGAUCAUCUCCUCAUUAAACCUAUCAAUCAAUUAGUAACCAGAAGAGUUAGCAUCACUGGUUCACCUGACGUUACCAAUCUUUGGUUGGUAGCAAGCAACCAGUAAAGAGAUGUGCACAGUACAAAUACGACAACAAUAAUCAUGCAAUAGCUAGCUACGUUCAGGGAGAUUGGCAAGCUUGUUACUGGAAGGAUAAAACUACUAUUUCCAAAAAAAAAACAAGAAAAAGAAACUUACUGGAAGGAUCCUGCUUUAAUUUGAUCCCACACCAUUGCUUGAUCCGGAUUUGCAGUAACUUUAUCCCAGAAGAAUGGCUUCAGCUUUGUUUUAUUGUCUGCCACAGGAGGACCUGCAACAUUCCCUGCUUUCUUCAACGGUGGCGGACCACGCGCUUUUGGACCACCAGGCAUUGCUGGUGGUGGAGGUCCAGCUCCA
This 1183-nucleotide long non-coding RNA is filed under the name Zea mays. Its description in RNAcentral is "long non-coding RNA (ZMAY_LNC000479)". Lineage: Eukaryota; Viridiplantae; Streptophyta; Magnoliopsida; Poales; Poaceae. The record is from RNAcentral.